AGGAUGGCGAUCAGAUGAAGGUGGGGUACAGAGGUUGACACUAGGUGGAGGUGGAGAGAUUUUCUUUGCAAAUUUCGAUUCUAACAACGAGCUGGAAGCUUUGGCUCGCCAACGAAGAAUAAAGCUGUGUACUUAGCCUUAUAUCCUUAGUGCUUGGAUGAGAAGAGAAAAUGGGAAGAAAGAAAAAACAGUGAAGUGAAUUUUUAUUUUU
Molecule: long non-coding RNA, 211 nt
Organism: Neltuma alba
Lineage: Eukaryota; Viridiplantae; Streptophyta; Magnoliopsida; Fabales; Fabaceae
Exons: 2
Source: RefSeq, a predicted model, not a curated record